RNAcentral lists this unclassified non-coding RNA (333 nucleotides) under soil metagenome. Its description in RNAcentral is "partial contains 5.8S ribosomal RNA, internal transcribed spacer 2, and large subunit ribosomal RNA". The stretch from base 1 to 120 matches the Rfam family "5.8S ribosomal RNA", at positions 35 to 154 of the family's 154-position model. The record is from RNAcentral.
GAUGAAGAACGCAGCGAAAUGCGAUAAGUAAUGUGAAUUGCAGAAUUCAGUGAAUCAUCGAAUCUUUGAACGCACAUUGCGCCCGCCAGUAUUCUGGCGGGCAUGCCUGUCCGAGCGUCAUUUCAACCAUCAAGCCCCGGGCUUGUGUUGGGGACCUGCGUCCGACGCAGGCCCCGAAAACCAGUGGCGGGCUCGCUGUCCACACCGAGCGUAGUAGCUAACCUCGCUCCGGAGUGUCGCGGGCGCCUGCCGUAAAACCCCCCAAUUUUACAAGGUUGACCUCGGAUCAGGUAGGAAUACCCGCUGAACUUAAGCAUAUCAAUAAGCGGAGGA